RNAcentral lists this ribosomal RNA (1151 nucleotides) under Aspergillus sp. RNAcentral's name for it is "SSU rRNA". It matches the Rfam family "Bacterial small subunit ribosomal RNA", at positions 90 to 1362 of the family's 1533-position model. Lineage: Eukaryota; Fungi; Ascomycota; Eurotiomycetes; Eurotiales; Aspergillaceae. The record is from RNAcentral.
UUAUAGUGGUGUACAGGUGAGUAAAAGAUAAUUUGGCUACCUUAAAGUAAGGAGUAAAUCUUCUUAUAAUAAAAAAGGAUAUAAGUCCGAAAGGGACAAUCCGCUUUAAGAUGUUAAUCUUUAUCACGGAAAGUAGUAGGAAAGGUAAUGACUUUUCUAGCUAAACCCGUAGUCGUGACUGAGAGGUCGAUCGACCACAUUGGGUCUGAAAAAACCCCAAUGCGUAUUAGUACAGCAGUGAGGAAUAUUGGUCAAUGGCCGAAAGGCUGAACCAGUAACUUGGAAGAAUGGAAGUGUAUAAAAAGAAUACAGUAACGAUUAACUCGUAUAAAAUUCUAAAUAGAAGAAUGAUAAUGACAAAUUUCUAUUUAUAAGUCUUGACCAACUUACGUGCCAGCAGUCGCGGUAAUACGUAAGAGACUAGUGUUAGUCAUCUUUAUUAGGUUUAAAGGGUACCUAGACGGUAAAUUAAACUCUAAAAGAGUACUUUUUUACUAGAGUUUUAUGAAAGAAGGAUGAAUUUCUGGAGUAGUGAUAGAAUAUUAUGAUACCAGAGAGACAGGUAACGGCGAAGGCAACCUUCCAUGUAAAAACUGACGUUGAGGGACGAAGGCUAGGGUAGCGAAAAGGAUUAGAUACCCUUGUAGUCCAAGCAGACAAUGAUGAAUGCCAUAGACUAGAUAUAUAUUUAGUUCAUAAAUGAAAGUGUAAGCAUUCCACCUCAAGAGUAAUAUGGCAACAUAUAAACUGAAAUCAUUAGACCGUUUCUGAAACCAGUAGUGAAGUAUGUUGUUUAAUUCGAUGAUCCGCGAAAAACCUUACCACAGUUUGAAUAAAAUUUACAAGCGCUGCACGGCUGUCUUUAGUUUAUGUCGUGAGAUAUGGUUAAUUCCUUAAAUAAACGAAAACCCUCAUUUUAUUUAUAUAUAUAAAGUGGUUCGCUAAGAAAUUAGAUUGCUAAAAGGGAUUAAGACAAGUCAUCAUGGCCUAAAUACUGUGGGCUAUAGACGUGCCGCAUAUGCCUACACAAAGGGAUGCGAUAUUGUAAAAUGGAGCUAAUCCCACAAAAUAGGAUAUAAUACGGAUUGUAGUCUGUAAUUCGACUACAUGAAAAAGUAAUUACUAGUAAUCGUGAAUCACCAUCGUCACGG